AUUGAACGCUGGCGGCAUGCCUUACACAUGCAAGUCGAACGGCAGCGGACCUUCGGGUGCCGGCGAGUGGCGAACGGGUGAGUAAUAUAUCGGAACGUACCUUUCAGUGGGGGAUAACGUAGCGAAAGUUACGCUAAUACCGCAUAUUCUGUGAGCAGGAAAGCAGGGGAUCGCAAGACCUUGCGCUGAUUGAGCGGCCGAUAUCAGAUUAGCUAGUUGGUGAGGUAAAGGCUCACCAAGGCGACGAUCUGUAGCGGGUCUGAGAGGAUGAUCCGCCACACUGGAACUGAGACACGGUCCAGACUCCUACGGGAGGCAGCAGUGGGGGAAUAUUGGACAAUGGGGGCGAACCCUGAUCCAGCCAUGCCGCGUGUGUGAAGAAGGCC
Molecule: ribosomal RNA, 386 nt
Filed under: uncultured bacterium
Lineage: Bacteria
Description: bacterial SSU rRNA
Rfam family: Bacterial small subunit ribosomal RNA
Source: RNAcentral